UUUAACGAGUUUCUCACAACAAAAAUAUAGAGUUUCAUCUUGAGUUCUGAAGGUGAUCAAGAGGAUCCCGAGGAAUUCGUUUGAUCUUGCCUCGCUCUUGCUUUACACUUUUGAUUUGGGUUCAAGACCGAGAGUACUCGCAAAUAGUACUAAGUUGUUUUCUCUUGGAGAUUUUAAGUUGUAUUAUG
Coffea arabica (coffee) is the source of this 188-nucleotide non-coding RNA. NCBI's taxonomy places the organism in Eukaryota, Viridiplantae, Streptophyta, Magnoliopsida, Gentianales, Rubiaceae. The record is from RefSeq and is a predicted model, not a curated record.